GCGAUCCUAAGCAUUUUAUGCCGAUAUUAAUAACUCUUCAUUAUUUUUAGAUUUAUAAGGUGUUAUGGUUUAAUUGUGUGCGAUAAAAAUGCUGCUGCUGAUGUCCUGGUCCUGAUGUAAGUCUGUGGCUCUGGAGGAUACAGAUGCGUCAGUCACUCACACAAACAAACAGCCACACUGUCAUACGUAAGACGCUUCUGUAUCACGGUGACUAAGCAUUUUAUCUAAGCCGUGUGACUUCACCGGUCACGAUAAUUCGGUGAUUUAAUCUGACCCUAAAUGCGCUCGGUAUUGCUGAGUGAUUGCAGUAUGCUGACUCACCUUCAUCAGUUCAGGCAGCGAACGCCAGGUGGCGCUGCUAGCCGCGGAGGAAGCUUCCACUCCUCGUCACUUCCAGGAACAACGACCGGGAGGCAUCUAAAGUGAAGUGGGGGGUGUGGGGCACGAAUCCAAUUUGUGCCAGCAUCUGUGAUUGGUCAUGGCCGUGAUCUCUGACGUGCCGCGUGACGCUGCUCUCAUCUCCUGAUCGCCGCAUCACUCCGGCGUCUGUCUCAAAAUUGGCUUUGUGCUCUGUGUCUCAAAAUUGUGCUGCUGCACAAAAACUUUCUCAUGACUGAUGAGGAGACAAACCAACUGUGAUUUCAGUCUCAGAAAUCACUGCACACUUUAAUGGAGAAAGAAAGAUGGAUUUGGAACAACACCAGGUGCUAAGAGAAAUGACAUCCAAGAGGGUUGCAGACAAACAUUUGUCCAGAUGAGCUGCGGUAACAGGAUUGUGUUUGGACAGGAGCUUCUCUCUGUAGGGAACAAGAUUCUCUGAAGUGAAACGCUGGAGGAUUCUAAGAAUGAACCACUUGCAGAACUUUCUUUGCGGUUCUGAUGAUUCAUCCACCCAACCGUGAGAUGACUAGACUGCAGCUCUGACCAAAUUCAACUGCUGUAAGAACAAGCUGAAGAAGUUGAGAAAUACAUGCUGGCGGUUAUUCUGAAAAUGUCUGUUUCCCACCGGAAUGAAACGUAUACAGGCAAAACAUUGAAAAGCCCCCUCCGUUGGAGAGAGAGAAAGAGAGGGAUGGAAUAAGAAUGAGAGCGAGUGAAACAGAGUGAAAAUAGUCAUACAGCUUGAGGGACGUUCCUGAGAUGACAGACAUGCACACCUACAGGAGUUCAGGGGUGAAGCCCCCCCAUGGCGACGGAAACGGCCCGAGGAAAGGCCUCAUGCUGAAGGGAGAGGGGCCCGGCAGCUCCCUCAAACAAUGGAAGUUCUUGGAAGAUUUUAGGAAGAAAAAAAACUUUGGUGGAAUGGAAAGUUUCCAUGGAUGAUAAAAGUUCUUGAUGGAACUUUAUCUCUUUACAAUCAGACCUGAGGUGAUUCCCUGUGUUUUGGAGGGCUUUGGUGUAAAGAUGGUCUUUUGGAAUGCUCUGGAAUCUGUCAGGACGUUUUCCUGCUUCCAACUGAACAGCCUCAGGACACAAGCUGAACAUGCACUGACAUCUUGUCUUUUUCAUAAUGGUCUCGCUUUGGUUGCUUUAGCACCUCUCUGUCUACAGCUUCAGAACGGUUCAGGAGCCGGUUGUCUAGAUGACGGCACAUUUACAUGUUUAAAGACUGAAUGGGGACUUCACAAUGCAGAUUGUCAGGAGACAAAC
Molecule: long non-coding RNA, 1650 nt
Organism: Cyprinus carpio carpio
Lineage: Eukaryota; Metazoa; Chordata; Actinopteri; Cypriniformes; Cyprinidae
Source: Ensembl